This 1759-nucleotide ribosomal RNA is filed under the name human gut metagenome. Its description in RNAcentral is "bacterial LSU rRNA". It matches the Rfam family "Bacterial large subunit ribosomal RNA", at positions 1135 to 2925 of the family's 2925-position model. The record is from RNAcentral.
UAAUAGCUCACUAGUCGAGAGGUCCUGCGCCGAAAAUGUCCGGGGCUGAAACACACUACCGAAGCUUAGGAAUUGAUGAACGUCAAUUGGUAGAGGAGCAUUCUUAACGGGGCGAAGCUGUACCGGAAGGAGCAGUGGACUGUUAAGAAGAGAGAAUGCCGGAAUGAGUAGCGAGAGGAAGGUGAGAAUCCUUCCGGCCGAAUAUCUAAGGUUUCCAGAGUAAAGCUGAUCUGCUCUGGGUAAGUCGGGGCCUAAGGCGAGGUCGAAAGACGUAGUCGAUGGAUAACAGGUAAAGAUUCCUGUACUGUAUCAUAACAGAACUGUGGGGACGCAGACAGAGAGCAUAAGCCGGGAAUGGAAAAACCGGUACAAGCGAGGUAGGAGUGCAUCAGGCAAAUCCGGUGCACAAUCUGAAGACGUGAUGUGGGGCGUAAAGCCGGAAGUAUGUGAGCUGGCUGCCAAGAAAAGCCGCUAUUGUUUAUGAUAUACCCGUACCGUAAACCGACACAGGUGGAUGAGGAGAGAAUCCUAAGGCCGACGGGAGAAGCAUUGUUAAGGAACUCGGCAAAAUGACUCCGUAACUUCGGGAGAAGGAGUGCCAUGUAAAAGUGGCCGCAGAGAAUUGGCUCAAGCAACUGUUUAGCAAAAACACAGGUCUAUGCAAAACCGAAAGGUGAGGUAUAUGGGCUGACGCCUGCCCGGUGCUGGAAGGUUAAGAGGAGAGGUUAGCGCAAGCGAAGCUUUGAAUUUAAGCCCCAGUAAACGGCGGCCGUAACUAUAACGGUCCUAAGGUAGCGAAAUUCCUUGUCGGGUAAGUUCCGACCCGCACGAAAGGUGUAACGAUUUGGGCACUGUCUCAACGAGGGACCCGGUGAAAUUGAAAUACCUGUGAAGAUGCAGGUUACCCGCGACUGGACAGAAAGACCCCAUGGAGCUUUACUGUAACCUGACAUUGGGUUUUGAUACAUUACGUACAGGAUAGGUGGGAGGCUUGGAAAGCUGGACGCUAGUCUGGCUGGAGCCGACGUUGGGAUACCACCCUUGAUGUAUUGAAAUUCUAACCGCGAGAGUAACGAAAUCCGGGACAGUGUCAGGCGGGCAGUUUGACUGGGGCGGUCGCCUCCGAAAGAGUAACGGAGGCGCCCAAAGGUUCCCUCAGCGCGGCCGGAAAUCGCGCGAAGAGUGUAAAGGCAGAAGGGAGCUUGACUGCGAGUCAAACACGACGAGCAGGUACGAAAGUAGGGCUUAGUGAUCCGGUGGUACCGAGUGGAAGGGCCAUCGCUCAACGGAUAAAAGCUACCCUGGGGAUAACAGGCUAAUCUCUCCCAAGAGUCCAUAUCGACGGGGAGGUUUGGCACCUCGAUGUCGGCUCAUCACAUCCUGGGGCUGAAGUAGGUCCCAAGGGUUCGGCUGUUCGCCGAUUAAAGUGGUACGUGAGCUGGGUUCAGAACGUCGUGAGACAGUUCGGUCCCUAUCCAUCGCGGGCGCAAGAGAUUUGAAGGGGGCUGCUCCUAGUACGAGAGGACCGGAGUGGACGAACCGCUGGUGUACCAAUUAUCCCGCCAGGGGUACAGUUGGGUAGCUACGUUCGGAAAGGAUAAACGCUGAAAGCAUCUAAGCGUGAAACCAGCCUUAAGAUGAGAUCUCUCAUAGAGCAAUCUAGUAAGACACCUUAAAGAAGAUGAGGUUGAUAGGUCGGGAGUGUAAGUACAGCAAUGUAUUGAGCGGACCGAUACUAAUAUGUCGAGGGCUUGACUUA